Molecule: long non-coding RNA, 1368 nt
Filed under: Monodelphis domestica (gray short-tailed opossum)
Lineage: Eukaryota; Metazoa; Chordata; Mammalia; Didelphimorphia; Didelphidae
Description: lncRNA (ENSMODG00000043112.1)
Source: RNAcentral
CUCAGCUCUACAUAACAGUCUGUUUAGGUCUUUCUAAUAACAGAAUUUAGUCUUUUCUAGGCAAUGUCUUAUUGGUUUGGUUUAAUGCCAAAAGUUUUUUUUUUUUCCAAAGUACACAAGGGACUUUGCUAGCUCACUGGGAUUUUGAAAGUUGAAUCCUUUUGAAAUGUAUUUAAGACCAAUGGAAUUUAACUGCAUUGGCUAAUAGUAGCAAUGAGUUCAACAGCAACACUCCAGGGCUCUUGAUGUAAUGGGAAAAUAUCUUGGUGGUGGACAUUACCUCUUCACGACCUUAUUUGACCUACUUUGGACAUCUAAAAUGAGUGAAUUUGACAUAAGAACUCUAUAUACAUCUGAACAGGAGCCAGGCAUGUAGGUAAGAUUCAUCAUAGACCAAUUGGUUUGCACAUGUUAUUUCUCUGACAAGACAAGAUAAGCUACACAGUAUCCAACAGCAUUCCUUCCUUUCUCUUUUGUUCUUUGCCAGUUGAUUUUUAUUCACUGGAAAUGCCAAUUUUCCACACGCUAUUCAAUGUGAAAUAUUUGUUUGACCAAAAAAAAAAGUAGAAUGGGAGAACAAAAAUGAAAAGAUGCUGAAGAUUUAACUCUUUCCUACUCAACUAUUUCUUUCUAUUUCUCCCUAUUUAUUUUGAGUUUAGAAUUAUGAAACCUACCAGCUUAAAAAAAAACAAAAAACAUAUGAAAUGCUUCAGUCAGAUCUAUCCUGGCACAGUCACUGAGGCAAAUAUUGUGAAGUGGUUUGGCUUUCCUUUACCUGCUUUUUAACAUUUUUCUGUUCCCAACCCCCAUCCCUACCAAUGGUGAAAGACCCCAGUGAAGUAGUUUGUUGUUUUUUUCCUGUUGUUUCCCCUUCAAAAGCUGAAGUUUUAAGAGGAUGAGGAAUUUUUUUGGCUCAAGCUAAUACUCAGCACAUUAGAGCAUUUUUCAUCUUCAAAGAACUCUUUUAAUGAGUUCAUCUUUACCACACACCUGGAAGUCUUUCUUCUACUGCCAUCUUCCCCUACUCUAAACAAAAGAAAAAAAUGAGCUGAGGAAGCCAGAGAAGACAGGUUAAAUAACUUGCUUCUAGGCACUGAAAACUUAUGAUAAAAACAAAAUUACAAAACUAAAAUCUUUUAGGGAAUAGCAAUGGGUGCUCAAGAUAUAUAGUUAGCUGUCCUACAAAAUUAUUGUGUAAAAAAGCAAUGUGGGCAUUCCUCUCCCUCCACACAGUAAUUUAACUCACACUGAGAGAUGUCUUUCCCAAUGGUAAAUCAGGAGGGGUGUCAAUAACCAGCAUGUACACAAAUAUUGUUAUCUAUAUAUGCUCAAGUAGCAGCCUCAAAAAUAAAAUAAGGGAGAAAAGCA